GCGCUCGUAGCUCAACGGACAGAGCACUUGUCUUCGGAACAAGGGAUGAGAGUUCGAUUCCCUCCGAGCGCACCA
Molecule: transfer RNA, 75 nt
Filed under: Candidatus Woesebacteria bacterium RIFCSPHIGHO2_02_FULL_39_13
Lineage: Bacteria; Candidatus Woeseibacteriota
Also listed under: 2 other names
Description: tRNA-Arg
Rfam family: tRNA
About the family: Transfer RNA (tRNA) molecules are approximately 80 nucleotides in length.
Source: RNAcentral